CAUGCAAGUCGAACGGAAACCUUCGGGUUUUAGUGGCGAACGGGUGAGUAACACGUAAGCAACCUGCCCUUAAGACGAGGAUAACAAUUGGAAACAGUUGCUAAGACUGGAUAGGAAAAGUAAAGGCAUCUUUACUUUUUUAAAAGACCUUCUUUGAAGGUAUGCUUAAGGAGGGGCUUGCGACACAUUAGUUAGUUGGCAGGGUAAAGGCCUACCAAGACUAUGAUGUGUAGCUGGACUGAGAGGUUGAACAGCCACAUUGGGACUGAGACACGGCCCAAACUCCUACGGGAGGCAGCAGUAGGGAAUUUUCGGCAAUGGAGGAAACUCUGACCGAGCAACGCCGCGUGAACGAUGAAUUACCUCGGUAUGUAAAGUUCUUUUAUUAAGGAAGAAAAAAGAGUGGAAAAACUCCCUUGACGGUACUUAAUGAAUAAGCCCCGGCUAAUUAUGUGCCAGCAGCCGCGGUAAUACAUAAGGGGCGAGCGUUAUCCGGAAUUAUUGGGCGUAAAGGGUGCGUAGGCGGUUUAAUAAGUCUAUAGUUUAAUUUCAGUGCUUAACGCUGUUGUGCUAUAGAAACUGUUUUACUAGAGUGAGUUAGAGGCAAGCGGAAUUCCAUGUGUAGCGGUAAAAUGCGUAAAUAUAUGGAGGAACACCAGAGGCGUAGGCGGCUUGCUGGGACUUUACUGACGCUGAGGCACGAAAGCGUGGGGAGCAAACAGGAUUAGAUACCCUGGUAGUCCACGCCGUAAACGAUGAGUACUAAGUGUCGGGUAAAACCGGUACUGAAGUUAACACAUUAAGUACUCCGCCUGAGUAGUACGUACGCAAGUAUGAAACUUAAAGGAAUUGACGGGACUCCGCACAAGCGGUGGAUCAUGUUGUUUAAUUCGAAGAUACACGAAAAACCUUACCAGGUCUUGACAUUUUCUUGCGAAGUUAUAGAAAUAUAAUGGAGGUUAUCAGGAAAACAGGUGGUGCAUGGUUGUCGUCAGCUCGUGUCGUGAGAUGUUAGGUUAAGUCCUAAAACGAGCGCAACCCUUGUUGUUAAUUGCCAGCAUGUAAUGAUGGGGACUUUAACGAGACUGCCAAUGAAAAAUUGGAGGAAGGUGGGGAUUACGUCAAAUCAUCAUGCCCCUUAUGAUCUGGGCUACAAACGUGAUACAAUGGUUGAUACAAAGAGUAGCUGAAACGCGAGUUCUUAGCCAAUCUCACAAAAUCAAUCUCAGUUCGGAUUGAAGUCUGCAACUCGACUUCAUGAAGUUGGAAUCGCUAGUAAUCGCGAAUCAGCAUGUCGCGGUGAAUACGUUCUCGGGGUUUGUACACACCGCCCGUCAAACCACGAAAGUUGGCAAUACCCCAAAGCGGUCACCUAACUUCGCAAGAAGAAGGAUCCGUCUAAGGUAGGGUCGAUGAUUGGGGUUAAG
RNAcentral lists this ribosomal RNA (1427 nucleotides) under 'Citrus sinensis' X-disease phytoplasma. RNAcentral's name for it is "bacterial SSU rRNA". It matches the Rfam family "Bacterial small subunit ribosomal RNA". Lineage: Bacteria; Bacillati; Mycoplasmatota; Mollicutes; Acholeplasmatales; Acholeplasmataceae. The record is from RNAcentral.